RNAcentral lists this ribosomal RNA (253 nucleotides) under uncultured bacterium. Its description in RNAcentral is "partial 16S ribosomal RNA". It matches the Rfam family "Bacterial small subunit ribosomal RNA", at positions 524 to 776 of the family's 1533-position model. The record is from RNAcentral.
UACGAGAGGCCCAAACGUUAUUCGGAAUUACUGGGCUUAAAGAGUUCGUAGGCGGCGCAGAAAGUAGGGUGUGAAAGCCCUCGGCUCAACCGAGGAAUUGCGCCCUAAACUACUGUGCUUGAGGAACCUAGAGGUGAGCGGAACUGAUGGUGGAGCGGUGAAAUGCGUUGAUAUCAUCAGGAACACCGGAGGCGAAGGCGGCUCACUGGGGGUUAUCUGACGCUGAGGAACGAAAGCCAGGGGAGCGAACGGG